GAUGAACGCUGGCGGCGUGCCUAAUACAUGCAAGUCGAGCGAACGGACGAGAAGCUUGCUUCUCUGAUGUUAGCGGCGGACGGGUGAGUAACACGUGGAUAACCUACCUAUAAGACUGGGAUAACUUCGGGAAACCGGAGAUAAUACCGGAUAAUAUUUUGAACCGCAUGGUUCAAAAGUGAAAGACGGUCUUGCUGUCACUUAUAGAUGCAUCUGCGCUGCAUUAGCUAGUUGGUAAGGUAACGGCUUACCAAGGCAACGAUGCAUAGCCGACCUGAUAGGGUGAUCGGCCGCCCUGGAACUGGGACGCGGUCCAGACUCCUAAGGGAGGCAGCAGUAGGGAAUCUUCCGCAGUGGGCGGAAGCCUGGCGGAGCAACGCCGCGUGAGUGAUGACGGUCUUCGGAUCGUAAAGCUCUGUUAUGAGGGAAGAACAUAUGUGUAAGUAACUGUGCAGAGCUUGACGGUAACUAAUCAGAAAGCCACGGCUAACUACGUG
This 497-nucleotide ribosomal RNA is filed under the name uncultured bacterium. RNAcentral describes it as "partial 16S ribosomal RNA". It matches the Rfam family "Bacterial small subunit ribosomal RNA", at positions 28 to 507 of the family's 1533-position model. The record is from RNAcentral.